This 72-nucleotide transfer RNA is filed under the name Holothuria edulis. Its description in RNAcentral is "tRNA-Leu". It matches the Rfam family "tRNA". Rfam says of the family: Transfer RNA (tRNA) molecules are approximately 80 nucleotides in length. Their secondary structure includes four short double-helical elements and three loops (D, anti-codon, and T loops). The record is from RNAcentral. Lineage: Eukaryota; Metazoa; Echinodermata; Holothuroidea; Aspidochirotida; Holothuriidae.
GCCUCAGUAGCAAAAUGGUAAUGCUGGGGACCUAAGCUCCCCUACCAAGAAGUUCAAUUCUUCUCUGAGGUU